This 5048-nucleotide transfer RNA is filed under the name Homo sapiens (human). Its description in RNAcentral is "HSALNT0375539". The record is from RNAcentral. Lineage: Eukaryota; Metazoa; Chordata; Mammalia; Primates; Hominidae.
UAUGGAGACAACAAUGACAACAGAAUUACCACAGAGAACUAGAAAAUGAAACUCAGCUGAAAAACGGCCACCUAAGAUGGAAGAAGCCAUGAGAUGAGUAAGCGUUGCCUACUCACAAGGUUGCAAACUGUCCUUCACUUACGAUUAUCCCCCAACGCCCCCUCCUAAAUCUGAUCAAUCGCAUGGAACUUGAUGGUUACAAAAGACAGAGCUAACAACUAGCAAAAUGGCCGAAAGGUUUUGGCAAGCAACCUUCUUGGGAGAAAUGCAAAUACCAUUGAUUUUUCGAGGCCUCUCAUGGAUGAAGACAUGCUCCUUUUUACAAGUGUGGUCAGGUUCCCUGAUAACUCUUUGUAUGAUCAUGUGGUUGCAGUACCUUGCAGGAACGGGAACGUCAUUCUGAGGGUAGUCCACAUGCAAGUGUUCUAAAGUUGACAUCACUGCUUCAUCAUUCACCUCAUUUUCCCAGAACAGAAGCACCAAGAAAAUUAUCACCAUUAUUAUCAUCAGAGUGCAGAUCCUUUUUUAAUAGCGAGAACAUUUAAAACCUACUCUUCGAAUAAUUUUGAAAUCUACAAAAUGGCAGCAUGGCCCAGGAGUGUGACUGGCAGUGAAGGAGCUGGGAAGACCUUGGAUGCAGGAAGGUCAUUUAAAGCAAAAGAUUAAGAAGCAGCAAUGCCCCUCUUGUGGCAAGAGUUGGCAGCGUGCGGUUGGUAUGUCAAUGCAUCCAAGGUCCAAGGGCCUGGAUUGUCUGCCAAAUGCUUGGGAGUUGUUUGAUCAGGUUGACAUGCUCCAACAGCAUUGUGGACUGGGCCCACACCUACGCUGAGGUGACCAAUGUCUCCAACUGUUGGAUCUGCUCCACCUUCCAGCAGCAGCUGCGGAGAGUUUGCCCUGGAACGCGUAUCCUGCUUCUGUUAAGAACUGGACAUGGCUAGAAGCUUGGGGUCCCACGGACAAUGGGUGGGAUGCCACAGGGCGGGCUUUGGAUAGGAGGCAUCACAAAACCCAUGGCAAACCUGGCCCUUGGCUGACUCAUAGUGUCCAUGAUGGAUGGAGCUGGCUAAUGGGAGAACACGUGGUGCCCCCAUUGCAGGUAUCACAAUGUAUAGAGCAGCACUGGGGUAAAGUCACUGUGGGAUGGUUGCCUACUGAGGUUUGUGCAAACAUAACAUGUGUCACCACACCAAGGGUGCAGUGGAACAAGCGGCCUUACGAAGGCCAGGCCCCCAUGGACUUUGUGCCCCCUGGGAGUUUAUGGGUCUGUGGGGACACAGGAUGGCCAUAUCUCCCAGCCAACUGGACUGGACAUUGUACCUGGGGUUGGCCCUAUGUGCCUGCCACUGGGCUUCCCACAUUGCCUAGUCGCCACAUAACUGGGAGCCACUGUGUUCCUGCUUUUUCCCAGUGCAGCAGGCCCUCUAGUGGUUCUAUCCCUUAGCAAUGACUAUCCCUGGAGCAGGCGUCAUUACUAUAGAAAAGCAAGUUGCAGCCUUUGCAGACCACACAGCUCGGUCCCGAGUUGCCCUCCUUUUGUUAACUGAUGAAGUUGAUCAGAUCAGGAAGGUGGUGCUGCAAAACCAGAUGGCCUUAGACAUAGUCGCAGCUGCCCAAGGUGGCACCUGUGCCCUUGUAGGGACACAAGGUUGUACAUUUAUCCCUGACAACCACUGGAAUAUAAUGGCAGCUUCACAAGGGGUGUCAUAGGAGAUUAAGGUGAUUGAGCACCUUACUGAUGACCCCCUGCAGAGAUGGUGGGCGUCUUUGGGAUCUGGCCUACAAUGGGCUCUCAUAAUCAUAGGUAGCAUAGCAGGAAUAUUAGUGGUAGGUUGUUGCUGUCUGUGUUGUUGCUGUGGCCUAUGGGUCCAGGGUGCUGCCACAUGUGCAUGGGUCCCCACCAAGAGGAUUCCCUGGCCUAGAGGGUGGAGUGUAAGGAACAUGGCUGUGUGCAGGCAAGCAGGCAUAGGCCAAGGUAAACAGCCUAGAUGACUCAGUGGGAUUGGGGCACAAGUGCACAGUCCCAUAUCUUAUAUAAUCAUAGCCGUGUAGGCACAACAUAAAGAAGCUCCCCACCUGGCUCUCAGUCACUAUCGUUUGUGUAGUGUAUAAAUGUAACACUGACCCUGUGAAGGGGCUGCUGAAUAAAGCCAUGUCUCAUUUACCUGCUGUCUCUUGAGGGUUCUUCCAGCUCCCUGCCCCACGUCCACCUACUCCCCUCAGCCCUCAGCUGGGGCUGGAACCUAACCCUGAGCAUGACAGAGAUGCACAGAGGGUUGUAAGCAGAGAAAUGACAAGCUCUUAGGAUUUGACAGGAUCAUUCUACUUUGUGGAAAAUAGAUUUAAGGGCACACGGACAAAACAGAAAGACCUGCUAAAGGGCUGCUGCAAUAGGGCAGAUGAGAAAUGGUGAUGGCUUCGACUACAGCAGUGGUGGUGGAGGUGGUAAGAAAUGUUUGAAAUCUGGAAAUAUUCUGAUGAUAGAGCCAACAUCAUUUGUUAAGGGAUUGAACAUGAGUUGUAAGAGAGAGGAAUAAAGGAUAAUUCCAAGAUUAUUUGUUUCAUAGUUCUUCUAAAUAUCUGAAGAAGUAUCAGAAGUUAAAUACUCAACAGUGUAGCUAGGAAUGAAGUGAAAAAUACCUGUGAUUUCUAGUUCUUGUUCAUCAGAUGAGUCAGGACACAUGUGGCUGAACUAUAGGAUGUAAACACUGAAUACCCCGCUGGUAGCAGGGUAAUAGAGAUGAAGAGGGUGUUCUGAGGAUCUAGCCGUUGCGUAGAAAGUGAAAGCCUCCCUCCCCGCAACACACGCAGCCACAUACCCUUCUCAAAUAAGCAGGGUGAACCACUAGGCUGUCUUUUCCCUCUUUGAGGGAAACACAUGUUAUGUUUGCACAAACCUCAGUAGGCAACCAUCCCAUAGCACAGUCCAUUUCUGUGGCUUGGGAAAGUAAGGAGGAUUGCAGAGGCAAAAUAAUGUGGCACACGGUUGUACCCAAAAGAAAACUUAACUAGGGAAGAUCAAGUACCAGCUAGAAGGGGGUGAUUCUGAGGAAUGCAGAGUAGGACACAGGGUUCUUACGGAGUUACCCCGCCCUGCAUGGUCUCCAGCUGUGUCUUGUAGAGGAACUUAGUAGCAUAUUAGCUCCCAGGGCAAUUCCAGUGACAUCUUGGGAGCUUUUUUUCUGAAAAAUAACCACUCCUAGGCUGGGCAUGGUGACUCUCAACUGUAAUCCCAGCACUUUGGGAGACCAAGGCAGGUGGAUCACCUGAGGUCAGGAGUUCGAGACCAGCCUGGCCAGAAUGGUGAAACCCUGUCUUUACUAAAAAUACAAAAUAUUAGCCAGGUGUGGUGGUGCAGGCCUAUAAUCCCUACUACUUGGGAGGCUGAGACAAGAGAAUCUCUUGAACCCAGGAGGUGGAGGUUGCAGUGAGCCCAGAUUGCACCACUGCACUCCAGCCUGGGCAACAAGAGUGAAACUCCAUCAAAGAAAGAGAAAGAGAGAAAGAGAGAGAGAAAGAAAGAAAGAGAAAGAAAGAAAGAAAAGAGAAGAAAAGAAAAGAAAAGAAAAGAAAAGAAAAGAAAAGAAAAGAAAAGAAAAGAAAAGGGAAAGAAAGAAAGAAAAUCAUUCCUAGGGUCCCAUCCUCAGAGAUUGCAGUGUAAUUGUUCUGGGGUUGGACCCAGCAGUGGAUGGUCAAAAAGCUUCACAGGUGACUCUAAUAUGCAGAUACGAUUGCAAAUCCCUGUUGAGAAGUUCAUUCCCAAGGGGCUACACCAACGAGUUCCCCACCCCCAUGCGCACACAGAAGGGUUCAGUGAGCUGAGGCUUGAAUGACGGAGUCUAGGCUUUAUUUGUGACAAGAACUUCGCGACAUCUGCUGGCCCCUGCGCUUACAAAGUGAGGUUUAUGUGAAACUAUUAAAAUAUGACUGUCCUGAAUGAACAAUUCCUGGAUAAUAACAAAGAACUGCAAAAGUAAAAAGCUGGUUGAUUUAAAAUAAUGAUUAUGUAAAAGAAAUGUACAUGAUAUGUGGUAGCACCUGGUAUUUAUCCUCAUAAUGUAAUACCAUGACAAAGAGCAUUUUUGCCUAAAGAUGAAAUACAUAUAUUUGAAAUAAUGGAGCAUUACAUAGUACUCACAUACUAACUUCAGACGGUGCUUACUUUGUGUGAUGGUGUUUAACGUGAAUAAACCUGUGGUUUUAUUGGGAUGUCCACUGACAGAAAAAUCUGUGACUUUAUGGGGGCCAGCUAACUGGGAGAGAAAGAAAAAAGGAACAGGGCUCGUCCGGGAUUUGAACCCGGGACCUCUCGCACCCUAAGCGAGAAUCAUACCCCUAGACCAACGAGCCACCUAUGAAUUUCGGUUGGGUUACUAAACUUUAAUAAAACUUUCAGCCACGUCUACAGUUGGUCACUGUCUUCUUUUAUAACUAUGGGCAUGGGUGACACCUAGUGGAUAAAGUAAACCACUGCAGGUUUUCUCACCUAAAUUCCGGAAGGCGGCGCCUUGUGACUGCAGAUCCCUUUUAGGAAAAAUGUUCAGGCGUCAGUGGGAAUAAUUUAUGACAUGAAAUUGCAUGUUAUAACAUGAAAUUGCAUGUUUUCACUUCCGAGUGAGCCGAAGAUGCUGUUGGACAGGGAGCAGGCAAAUCAGGGACCGUCCCGAGUUAUCCGGUGGUCGGAAGGCAUCUCGUCCUUAACAGGUACCGACCGCCGUGCGCGCGGCCGGCGAAAGCUGUCGCCGCAGGGCGCCCUCCGUGAAGAGACCCCGAGGCAGAAGAGGGCCCCGACGCUGCCCGGUGACCCGCCUUGCCUGGCACGGGGCUGGCGCUCCAAACCGUUAGACCUGACAAGGUUGCCCUCCCUCUCUCGCGACGCCUUUCACAACAUGUAUUAUAACUCUUUCCACCAAUUUCAAAUAGUGCGGCUUAAAAGAUGAAGGAGAGCUAAACAAACCAGAAAGAAAAGAAAGAAAAAAUCCGGUAAAACUACAAAUACAGGAUCAUGAAGUUGGCAGGCGGGGAGGGUAAAAGAGGAAAGGGUAGAGAAU